RNAcentral lists this ribosomal RNA (253 nucleotides) under uncultured bacterium. Its description in RNAcentral is "partial 16S ribosomal RNA". It matches the Rfam family "Bacterial small subunit ribosomal RNA", at positions 524 to 776 of the family's 1533-position model. The record is from RNAcentral.
UACGAAGGGGGCUAGCGUUGUUCGGAAUCACUGGGCGUAAAGCGCACGUAGGCGGAUUGUUAAGUCGGGGGUGAAAUCCUGAGGCUCAACCUCAGAACUGCCUUCGAUACUGGCGAUCUCGAGUCCGGGAGAGGUGAGUGGAACUGCGAGUGUAGAGGUGAAAUUCGUAGAUAUUCGCAAGAACACCAGUGGCGAAGGCGGCUCACUGGCCCGGUACUGACGCUGAGGUGCGAAAGCGUGGGGAGCAAACAGG